GCCAACGUAGCACAAUGGUAGUGCGUUGCUUUCCUACUUAACAUUCCAUUGUUCCGGUCGAGUAAGCAGGCAGAGGCUGUGGGUUCGAGUCCCACCGUUGGUU
RNAcentral lists this transfer RNA (103 nucleotides) under Agrocybe pediades. It matches the Rfam family "tRNA". From Rfam's summary of the family: Transfer RNA (tRNA) molecules are approximately 80 nucleotides in length. Lineage: Eukaryota; Fungi; Basidiomycota; Agaricomycetes; Agaricales; Agrocybaceae. The record is from Rfam by way of RNAcentral.